GAUCGAGGCCAUCAGAGCAGCUUUGAUGGCCCCAGCCUUCUCCUCCUGUUUCAACAGAGCCUCACAGAUGGGGUACCUGAUAACACCCCCGUCUUCUGUCCACCCCUUUCUGUUUGCUUUUCCUCCCAGCCGCUUCACGUCCGAUGGCGCUGCCCUGGGCCAGAGGGGAAGUGACCCAGCUGUGGGGCUCAGCAUGAUGGGGGCUUUGUGUCCUUCAAAGGGGAUGAACAAACAGCCAGUGGUCCCAGCCUGGCUGGGGGGAUCCUGCGGAAAUACCACAGUCAACACUCUUGGGAGCUGCCUCCUGCCCGCUCCAAGGCUUUGGAUCCAAAGAAGUCUUUUCCUGCCGUAAGGUCAACAAGACAAAGCCAACUCUCAGUUUGCAAAAGGCUCUGGCACCUGCCUGGGAGCAUUUAAUUACCCUGACAAUGGCAUCAAGAGAAGAAGGGCCAUGAGACCCCUUCAAUCACAAAUCCACAGAGGAGGCAUCACUUUGCCUGCUGCUCCCACAUGCCUGGGGCCGGCACCUGCAGGCUGCAGACUCGCCCCAAGAGCAGGACCAUCAUCCAGCCCUCUUAGGGACGCCUUUUCUCCCUCAGAGCCUGCAAUGCUACACAUGGUACUGGCUUUUUUAUGCCGUUCUUUUCCUUUGUCCUUUGCACUGCUCUUAUGCCAAUAAAUGCACAUUAUAAAAAAAACAAAGCAGUGGACAGUUCUAAUCUCUAAGUCAACAUGUGCCCUUAUCACAGAGGGUGGUUCCCACUCAGCAGGCUCAGGCUGUCUUUAAUCCAAAAGCAGCAACGUGUGUACACACUGCAGAGCAAAUCAGAGGCAAAACUUCCCUGGGCUUUCCAGGCCCUUUUGGGAGCAGAGGAGUGAGCAGCCAGGGACUCUUGCAGGACCAGAUCCUGCUAGAGAGGUACAGCAGGUACUGCAGGACCCUGCUGGGCAGGCACAAGUCCACUAUACCAAGCAGAUCACUCCAACCACAUCUUCACAUCCUGUCAUGGUUCUGUUCGAGGCAUUGCACAGAGAUGUUUCCAAGCCUGUUAAGUAACUGUAAAUUUUCUGCUGGCCUUCUUGAGCAAAACACCAAAUUGUAGACAUACAUCUGGUUUUCUAGGAUUCUAACCACAAAGUCUGGAAGGGAAAAAACCUCCAUCAGCCCUCAGCUGUGGCAAAUGUUGAUUUAAGAGAAGUGCUUACAAAAUUGCACAUGAAGCACUUUGCAAAAGUGACCUGCCUGGAGGCGCACUGAAAAAGCAGAAAGAGGAGCUGUGCCCUACGCUCCAGAUACGGAUCAGCAAGAGCCAGAACAAAGCGGACCAAGGGAACUCAUGACAGGCCCAUGUUUUCAAGGAAGAGAUUCACAUGACUGUGAAUCCCAGCUCCUGUGUUCUCUCCCCGCUGAUUUCUUUUCCCUUUCCACUUCCCCUCACUCAAACCCUGCCGGGGCCAGUCCAUGGGUAGCCAUCGAAGGCACGGCAGUGCGCAGUGACACAGACCUUUGAUGCGCCCCAGGGCGGCCACGCUGAGUCCCCCUGCUUUUCAAAGGCCGGUCCUUGGCUAUUGUGUUCACAUCCUGAGCUUGUUUGUACACUUGCUGCAGGGCCCGAUCCCUGCAGCCCCCCUGCCACGGCCCAGCCGCCCUGACCCAGAUAAAAGCGGGGCAGGGCCGCUAUCAGGGCGCGGACACGCGGCACCGUCCGAGCUGCGGCCGCCGCGAUAGCGGAGCCAGGCCGGGCCGGGCCCAAGGCUCCGGGUCAGCGGCGGCCCCGCAGAGCUGCACCGGGCCUGGCUGUGACCAGGGCACUCGGGCAGCUGCCAGCAGCGUUAUCAGCGCCCUGCACGCCCAGGGGUGUCCUGGCACUGCUGCUCUCCCCCUCUGCUGCCCCUGGAGAGGACCAGCAGCUUGCCAACAGAGGGAACUGCCAGGCGGCAAGCGACACCCAAGCUGCUAAAGCUCUUUGAUCAUCGCCUCAGCACGCCCAGCACCGAGCUGGGUAACAGUCCACCCUCCUCCCUAUAGGUAAGGUAAGGUGGUGCAAGGAGCACACCGUGACUUGGUGGUUAAAAUCCCAGUGAAAUCCAUCUUUGCAAGCAAGGAAGCCCCGUUAAAAGAGCCAGACUGUUUUAGUCCCACUGGGGCAGUGUCCAAGUAUGAGCCUCUCUGCUGGGCCUCCAUGUCAGCCCCUGGCAAGAAGAGCAGCAGUAAGGAGCAUCACUGCAUCCACAUCCCUCCUUGUGUGAUAGGAGAGAUGGGGAGAUGAGCCUCCACAUUGCAGGAAGGCAAAAAAAACACAAAAUCCCAGAGGAUUUUGAGGGCAUGUUCCAUGGGAUACCCCAGGAGCGCAUCUUUAUAGGAGCAAGAGCCCACAGUGUCCUCAGUCCCAAACCUCUCCUCCAGGUGCUUGGUGCUCUUGUCUCCUCUCAGCUAGCUGGUGGGAGCACCAGACCAGCUCCAGGUGCUUCCCCAGAAAGGAUGCAAAGACGAGUGUUCUUUUGAAGGGACAACAAUGCAGUCGCCAGUUGUCAGCUUUAUCCACAGUGUUUUCAUUCUCCCAAGUGCCUUUUACUUCACCUCCUCCACAGUCUCUUUGCUACAGGACAAGAAGAGGCAGCAGAUCCUCUCCAAGAUGCCAGUGCCUGUCACAAUCCCUCCCCUUCCUCAGCCUGCAUGGCAGCACAUGUCAGGGCAGUGGCCAAGGAACAACAGCUCCCAAGCAUGGCUGUGGGUGCCUGAAUUGCUGGGAGAGCAGGA
This is a non-coding RNA of Taeniopygia guttata (zebra finch), 2761 nucleotides long. NCBI's taxonomy places the organism in Eukaryota, Metazoa, Chordata, Aves, Passeriformes, Estrildidae. The record is from RefSeq and is a predicted model, not a curated record.